Molecule: microRNA, 19 nt
Filed under: Suid alphaherpesvirus 1
Lineage: Duplodnaviria; Heunggongvirae; Peploviricota; Herviviricetes; Herpesvirales; Orthoherpesviridae
Description: prv-miR-7-5'
Source: RNAcentral
CCGGGGGGUUGAUGGGGAU